UGGGGAAUAUUGCACAAUGGGGGAAACCCUAAUGCAGCAACGCCGCGUGAGUGAUGAAGGUUUUCGGAUCGUAAAACUCUGUCUUUGGGGACGAUAAUGACGGUACCCAAGGAGGAAGCACCGGCUAACUCCGUGCCAGCAGCCGCGGUAAUACGGGGGGUGCAAGCGUUGUCCGGAAUCAUUGGGCGUAAAGCGUUCGUAGGCGGUAUGUCAAGUCUGGUGUUAAAGCCCGAGGCUCAACCUCGGUUCGGCAUUGGAUACUGGCAAACUAGAAUGUGGUAGAGGUAAAGGGAAUUCCUGGUGUAGCGGUGAAAUGCGUAGAUAUCAGGAGGAACAUCGGUGGCGAAAGCGCUUUACUGGACCAUUAUUGACGCUGAGGAACGAAAGCCAGGGGAGCAAAUG
RNAcentral lists this ribosomal RNA (402 nucleotides) under uncultured bacterium. Its description in RNAcentral is "bacterial SSU rRNA". It matches the Rfam family "Bacterial small subunit ribosomal RNA", at positions 355 to 774 of the family's 1533-position model. The record is from RNAcentral.